RNAcentral lists this ribosomal RNA (506 nucleotides) under uncultured bacterium. Its description in RNAcentral is "partial 16S ribosomal RNA". It matches the Rfam family "Bacterial small subunit ribosomal RNA", at positions 30 to 523 of the family's 1533-position model. The record is from RNAcentral.
AUUGAACGCUGGCGGCAGGCCUAACACAUGCAAGUCGAACGGUAGCACAGAGAAGCUUGCUCCUUGGGUGACGAGUGGCGGACGGGUGAGUAAUGUCUGGGAAACUGCCCGAUGGAGGGGGAUAACUACUGGAAACGGUAGCUAAUACCGCAUAACUUCGCAAGACCAAAGAGGGGGACCUUCGGGCCUCUUGCCAUCGGAUGUGCCCAGAUGGGAUUAGCUAGUAGGUGGGGUAACGGCUCACCUAGGCGACGAUCCCUAGCUGGUCUGAGAGGAUGACCAGCCACACUGGAACUGGGACACGGUCCAGACUCCUACGGGAGGCAGCAGUGGGGAAUAUUGCACAAUGGGCGCAAGCCUGAUGCAGCCAUGCCGCGUGUAUGAAGAAGGCCUUCGGGUUGUAAAGUACUUUCAGCGAGGAGGAAGGCGUUGUGGUUAAUAACCGCAGCGAUUGACGUUACUCGCAGAAGAAGCACCGGCUAACUCCGUGCCAGCCGCCGCGGUAA